Molecule: long non-coding RNA, 2222 nt
Filed under: Triticum aestivum (bread wheat)
Lineage: Eukaryota; Viridiplantae; Streptophyta; Magnoliopsida; Poales; Poaceae
Description: long non-coding RNA (TAES_LNC003426)
Source: RNAcentral
UGAAAUAUUUCAAAAUCUAAUUUGGGAAGAAGCAAGGUCGUUUGCUUACAUGAGAACUGUGAUGAUACAGUCAACGCAUCAGUUGAUAGUUGCGUUGGAGAUGAAGAAAAGUAAACUAUCAACAUCUCUUUCCUACAGGUGUUAUCUAUCAACAUUUCCAUCUUUCUCACCCAUCCUAUAUCUCCCUCUGCUCCAGUUCAGACCCAUAAAUUUCCCUCAACCUCUCCAUCUCCCUUCGUAUCCUCCCCAGUCACCACCGGCCACCUCCUCCGCCGUCUUGCUAGAUCAUACCAUGACGCCACCUACUGACCAGCUUGCGAAUCCUACCAUGCUUAACAGUUGACUACCUAAACCUGUACACACCUAAACUACAUGUGCACAAGACACUUGUAUGCUCCUGCUAAUUAAUCAAGCCUAAAUUCACUUGUUUGACCGGAUGGAUCCUUUGUUGAUUCCUAAAUUCACUUGUUUGACCGGAUGGAUCCUCUGUUGAUUCAUCCGCUCUGAGAUGGAUGGAUCAGAUCCCUGGCUUCACUUGAGCACAUCUGGGAUCGAUGAGUGGGUCGCUCAACUCCAUCGUCUGAAGCUUCUGCUCCAGCCCCCGGACGGACCUCAAACCUUGAAUUCAUCGAUCAUACGGUGGCAUAAAACUACAAUAUCAUCAAAAACAACUACUGUGAGGAACUCAAAUCAAAUAAAUAGAGACAUAUAUUGUUCAAAGAGAAAUUUGAGGUGCUUCGCAUUAAUCCAUAUAGAAAAAGAGCAGCAAUUUAACAACCAUAUGAAGGCACGACCCACAACUUGCUUAGGCUACUGUAUAGUGUGCAUUGUUCUGGAGGCCAUGAUCCACCCACAGCAGAAUCCCUGACCUUUUUUGCCCCAAAAUCGUACAUAAUAUUAUGCACAGAAUUAUCCAAAUUGCUACUAAAAGCUACCAGCCAAUAGCAAGAAGAACAAAAAGAAAUUCUUAGUAUUCUAUAUGUAAGUGUUUAAACAAAACUUCUACCUGGCUUUUCAAGGGAAAAAGGUAGAAGGAUGUAAGCUAGUACUUUAGCACUAAAAAGUAAUGUUGCAUUAGAAUAGUAGGAGUACAGAAAAAAAAAUAGAAGAACCAUCUCAAUAGCAGAAUUCUUCUACCAUCAGAAUUCUCACUACCACCAAGAUCAAAAGCUCAGCUCGACAAACUGAUUUAACUAAUGCUAAAUAAACUAAUGAUUUUCUGAAAAAUUUCUCCAAGUAAACAACACACCUCUUUCAAAUGUAGUUGUCGACUUGAAUGGAAUACUCGCAGCAGUGAGCAGUCAACAUGCGUGUUGUAUUCUCUCUAUGACCAUUUACCCGCCAACCUAUUGCAAGCCCACAACUACACGGUGCUACUCAUUUGUUUGGGAGAUUGCAGACGCAGCUGCAAGUCAACAUGUGCCCCAAGUGCAUGUCUGCAGCUCCAUGUCGUUCUGUGAUGUUGACAACAUGUGCUUAGCUCAAGAGAUGGAGACAUUAUCAAAGAAUCAUAAUUUAAUUAUCUGUGUAUGCCAUGAUAACAUAAAAAGGACAUCACAUUGCUGGAGGCAUGAAACCAAGUGCCAGAUUAUACAGUUUCAUAUACACUUUUAUGGUUUUAUUCAUAUAUCAUAUGGUGUGUCGACAAAAUGGCACUACUGCAUGAGAUGCAUUAAUUCUGAAUAUGCAAGUCUAGGACAGCACUGCUCUAGUAAUAAUAUAUGUGUCACUAUGACAUAAUUUCCAGAAUAUUCAGUUAGCAGUUGGAUGAGUACUAUUUUAUAUCAUCUCAGAUUCCUAUCAACAUGUCAUCCAUAGUCCUUGUUCUUAUCAUGAUGUGAUUCUUGAGAUGGACACUAAUAUGAUAAAUUUUCUACCUGCACACAAUUGUAACCUGCCUUUAUAUUAGUAUAAAUAAAAACAGAUACUAAAAUAGUUAUCCAGGAAGGGUAGCUUCCUAGUUGUAAUUAUACCUAAUUGUAGAACUCUGGGUACGAUCUAGUGUGAACGACGCACCUCCUGACCUCCAGAUAUAUUACUUUGCAGAGGGAACAAUCAAAUCGAUCAACAUAUUGGAUUGGCCUGCUUGGGACGUAGCUAGUAAGUCAGCUAGCUUGGAUUGGGACAUAGCUAAUAAGCCUUGUGAAAUCAAUCCAGUGGCCUGCUUGGACGUAGCUGGUAAAUCAAUCCCAGCCGAAAACGUCCCAAGCACCAGCAGGAAU